Molecule: long non-coding RNA, 368 nt
Filed under: Homo sapiens (human)
Lineage: Eukaryota; Metazoa; Chordata; Mammalia; Primates; Hominidae
Description: HSALNT0362721
Source: RNAcentral
CUUCACCAGGAAUGACGGUUUCUCUUGCACAUGCGCUUCCAGGCCGCAAGUGUCCGGAAACAGAAGAAUGGGAGUGUCAGUGGGGGAGUGUGACCGUGACGGCAGAGGCAAGGUCAGAGGACUGAAAAGAAAUUGAAAAGGAUUCUUCAUUAUGCUUCAUCUCUGCACUUGCCUUUUGGGCAUCAUCAACAUAGGAUUCAAAAGAUACUCAGCAUCAGAGCCGUAACAGUCUCGUGACUGACAAACUCUAAAUAAGUAUAGCAAAUAAUGAAUCCGCUAGCGAGUGGCUUUUCAUUCAUUUAUUCGUUUGAUUAAUGUUAUCUUUUCAAAAAAACCUUCUCUGACCAUUCUAAAAUUACCUCCCCCUU